Pyrus x bretschneideri (Chinese white pear) is the source of this 2780-nucleotide long non-coding RNA. RefSeq lists it as uncharacterized. The transcript has 5 exons. The record is from RefSeq and is a predicted model, not a curated record. NCBI's taxonomy places the organism in Eukaryota, Viridiplantae, Streptophyta, Magnoliopsida, Rosales, Rosaceae.
AGAGAUGCCGAGGGGAAGACAGCGCAGGGGAGAGGUAUGGCUGAUGGAUUUCAGAAGUGGGAAAGUCAGUUUUCUCUUCUCGGUUUUGACUGAAUUCGAGGGUUGUUCUGUACAGUUUCAUUUGCUGUCCUUCAAUGAGGGUUUUGGGGGUAUGGAGACUCUGACAGAGAGCGGAAGAAAGAGAGAGAGAGAGAGAGAGAGAGAGAGAGAGAGAGAGAGGUCGAGAGACAUCUUAAGUUAGGGUUUUGUUCCUUCGUUGCUUUUCUUGAUUUCGGCUUUUGCUCUUUUCGUUUUGGCUGUUCUUUCUUCCAAUCCUCUGUUUCCUGUGAUAACCGUGCUUUCUUUCGCGGAAAGGGUUGCUGAUUUUCGUGGUUUAAGGGAUUUUCUCUCUUUCACUUUCUCCGUUUUGCUGAAAAACCACCCAACCAAUAAACGCUUUCGGUUUGACUCGAAGAAAAAUUUUACCCAUAAAGGAUAGCAUUUCUUGAUGAGUUUUGCAUCCCUGUAAACCUAGAUUUGUCGGCGCUAUGUGGAAGGUCAUAAAAUUGGUUUCCAAGGUUUUUUUUCUUCCUGAUCUUGCGAUUGCUCAUGCAAGGGUUUCAAAGUAUUUCCCAAUCUCUCCUUACAUAGUAAAUUGCAAUGGGUUGUCCACGGUUUGCCUGGUAAAACCAAAUUUUGUGAGUCUAUGAUUUUUCAGGAGUUGCAGCGUUGUUAGUAAGGUUUGAGCAUUUUCAUCACAUUAGCUAUUCCGUUCAUCAGUCCAAUAUGUUCUUAUCCCUUGCACUCCGUUGUUUAUGUUUGGAAUUUGUGAUUAGAAAUUGGAGAUUUAACUUCUUGAUAAUUGCAUGUGUUCAUGCCCCCUCAUGAUAUCAUGAGAUCUAAUGAGAUUGUUUGCGAUCUGGUUAAAUACAUAGUAAUAAGGACAAUAGUUCAUAUUUUUAAGGAAGGUUAAUGGUUCUGGGUUUUUACAUUUAUUAUUAACUAUAAUUGUUAUGGUUGAUUAUCGUUCUUUUAGUCUCACUGAGUUUCUUUGUUCAAUGGUUUGGUCCAUCUUAUUAAGUUUCUCACCAGAGAUCUCUUCUAGCACUGCUCUUCUCUUGGACCAGGUACAACUUCUUUGACUUUCUGUUUGUUUCCGAGAAAAUUUAGAGCUCGAAAGUGUGUAGAACUGUAGAAGUAAAAAAAGUCUCAAUCUUUCUAUUGUCCUGUACAAAAAGAAAUUGAAUUUUGAAUUUGUGUUUUUGGCAUACCCUUUACUAGAAUUUUGUGAUUUGGGAAUUGUAGAAGUUGGUGGCGAUUCAAAACCCAUUAACUUGGAUGAGAAUUAAGAGUAAUUUGGAACCAGACAGCAAGGAAUUGCAAGUGGGUAAUGAUAAUGAUAAUGCAGAUGUUGUUUUGGUUUUUAAUUCCUUAUCAUCGCUACUACAAAAAAGGUUAGUUUUGUUUUCUACAUUUAAAGAGUGUUUAAAGAAAAGUUGCAUGUAAUUGAUUUUCUGCUAUAAUGUUUUGAAAUUCCUUAUUUAUAUUGUUCUAGAUAUUCUUGGUUUGCAUUUAUUUUACGUGAUGGUAUUAGAAAAAAAUAAAGCCGCAAUGAUGAAAAAAUUUGUCUAAGUCAAAACAAGCGAUAAAGAAUCCUUACACCAUUGAGCCAUUACUGAAAUAAAUUUGAUACUAAUUUUAUGUGUGCACAGUUGAAUGUGAAACAGUGUAAUUAAAUGUGAAACAGUAUGUUUUCAGUACCUUGGUAUAUGGUACAAGAUUGGGGGUAAUGACACCAAUAAAAACUGGGGUUGUAAUAAGUAACUUUUUCUCCGUUCUUUAUUGUAGUACUAUAGAUUCAAAUUUGUCAUUGUGCAUUUUUUAUUUUUCUGCACAGUUGGAUGAUUAGGUUUUGUGCAAAGUGAAUCAUUCGAAUGCUCAGAAUGUAUUAUAUUUGUAAAUUCCAGCUAAUGCUGCUCUAACAUGAUACAAGAGACCAACACUUUCAUCCAUAUGGAGUGCUGAUAUACUGAUAUCUGGGAUUUUUUAUCUUUGAAAUAGCUAAAUGCUAUUUUUAAUGUUUCAGUUCUGGCAUGUUUGGUUCUUUGAAUUCUGUAGUUUGCUUGCUUCUUCGUUGCUUCGUGAUUUUCAUUUUUCAGUGUAAUUAAAUUCUUGAAUUUUUCAUAUUGAACUAAUGAAGUUCAUUCUGAAUUUCCAAUUCAACAUUAUAACAUUAUAAAAUUGUUUUGCAAAGAAAUUGUGUGUUCUUCAUGUGCAUUCUUCAUUGUUUGUACUUUGAAUUCAAGAUAAUACAGUAUAUUUUCAACAGUAACCAAUGAUAUAUUCUCAGAUAAUCGUGGCAGGAUGCCCAUGAUGUGUUAUUUAGGGGACUUUGAGUGGAAUAAUUUUGUGAUGGUUAUUAUUUGAAACAUUGAUGUUUUUCAGUUAUAUGACUACCUUUACAUCUCUUUCAUUUAAAUACUUGCUUGGGAGCUUAAUCUUUCUUUUGGUAUUUGUUAUGUUUUCUUUUGUUGGCUGUAUUUUGUAUCUCAUUAACAACAGUAAGCAAGUGAAAGCUAUAAGUUAUCUAUUACCGGUAUCCAUUUUAAAAAAUCAUAUGUGGUAGAUGUUAUUAUUUGAGAUUUCUUAUUAUUGUAGUGGUGUUGUGUUAACAUUUCUUUUGCAAUUUGAUACUUUUCUAUUUACACAUUUCUUUACAUGCAAUUUUAUCUGCAUAUUUGUGAUUUCGUAAAUUGAUAAAAUUGAUAUUUUGAUUCUACAACUUUGUAAUUGAAUGAAAA